Molecule: long non-coding RNA, 1130 nt
Filed under: Daphnia magna
Lineage: Eukaryota; Metazoa; Arthropoda; Branchiopoda; Diplostraca; Daphniidae
Description: uncharacterized LOC116934105, transcript variant X3
Source: RNAcentral
UUUCACUUUCGAACGCUGUGCCGCUGAAAUUAGUCUCGUUUUGUAGAGGAAUUAACGGAGCAGUCUACGGUUGAGUCAUCAUUUAUUUCGUCUGAACGACGAAGGAGUGCGGAGCAGUUUAGUCGGCCAAAUCGAGUCGAUCUCGGGGUCUCGUAUGUAUCCUUUAUACGUUUUCUUGUUUUAGACGCUGUGCCGGAAAAAAUGACGUCUUCUUGUAAAAAGAUAACGCCGAGAUUAACGAAGAGAUCGUGUCAAUUAUCGGUUCAAUGAUAAAGGAGUACUGAGCAAUCUAAGAGCGACUCGAGUUUUUUUUCAGAGAGUUGGCAUGUCGCGUCGGUCACAAAGAUAGAGGAAAUGAGGUCGCGAAGUUGUUGUUUAAGGCGGGGCUUCGUACGUCGCUUGGCAACGGCCUAUGCGCUCCAUUGUUGCGAGCAUAUCCGUCCAGCUACAUCAAAGGAGAAACCGGGAAACAUUGCCGUUGUUCAGUCGCUUCGAUUGGAAUUUUAGCAGCUAGCAGUUCAUUGUAGCAUGGACAUGGAGAAGUUCAGUUCAGUGGGAAUCUUAGUUGGUGAAUUAACUGACACCGAUUUUAGGAUUUACUUCUUUCACAAUUAUUGAAACGCACAGGAGCGGAGGAAAUGGAAAUUGAUGCAACAGUUGCUGGAAUUGCUGGAAAAUAUACUGUUAAAUACAGUCGGAUGGUGUCUAUUGUUCCAGAUACAAGUCUAGAGGAAGCUCAUGCAACAGGAUUGACAAUAGGCUUUGAAACUUUUGUUUGCAAAAUCCAGAUUUGACUUUUUUGAUUUUCUGAGGACAAUUCAGGUGCGUCUAGAUAAUCAACGGAAUGGAAUUCUUCAUUUGAAUGUGUGGGAUACACAUUGAAUAUAUAUAUGCUAUCAUUACGAGCAUUACAGCGCAACCUUUAGACCAAACUUGAGAAUGCGGUGUUUUGGGAAAAGUAAACAACUUUUUCUUUUCGCCGUUUAGUGAAAGUUAGUUUCGAAAGAGUGUCAACAGAAUUGUUGAAAGGUUCACUCGAUAUCUCGUAAAUCUCCAACAUUUUUGCAAGAUUCAGUUGAUACGAAAUGUCAUCAGCAUCUACAACUGAGAAUACAUUUCAAUAAAACACC